AUAAAGUGUUUAUUAUACUUUAUUUUUAUCUCAUACUUUAAAAUAAGCAACAAUAAAAUACAACAAGCUUGACAUACAACAAAAUAUAACAAAUUGAGAUAACAAGUCAUAAAAAAUUAUCAUUCUCCAAUUCAAUUAAUCAAGCCAUAGUUGAUCACAUCUAUGUAAGCUUCUAUCAAAAGAAUUGUUGCCAUAAAAAAAAAAAACUUUAGCAAAGGAACAUGAAAUAAACUACACAUUGGUGGCUAGAUAAACAAAAAUAUGUUAAUGUGACAUUUAAUAAAACUGACAUUGUAAUGUUACUAUGGAUUAAACU
Non-coding RNA from Biomphalaria pfeifferi, 316 nucleotides. The record is from the annotation of a GenBank genome assembly. Lineage: Eukaryota; Metazoa; Mollusca; Gastropoda; Planorbidae.